GACAGUUUGGCCGAGUGGUCUAAGGCGCUGGCUUUAGACGCCAGUACGAAAGGGCGUGGGUCCGAACACCACAGCUGUAA
This 80-nucleotide transfer RNA is filed under the name Perkinsus chesapeaki. It matches the Rfam family "tRNA". Rfam says of the family: Transfer RNA (tRNA) molecules are approximately 80 nucleotides in length. Lineage: Eukaryota; Perkinsozoa; Perkinsida; Perkinsidae. The record is from Rfam by way of RNAcentral.